AGAGUUUGAUCAUGGCUCAGGACGAACGCUGGCGGCGUGCCUAAUACAUGCAAGUCGAACGAAACUCUCUUACACCGAAUGCUUGCAUUCAUCGUAAGAAGUUGAGUGGCGGACGGGUGAGUAACACGUGGGUAACCUGCCUAAAAGAAGGGGAUAACACUUGGAAACAGGUGCUAAUACCGUAUAUCUCUAAGGAUCGCAUGAUCCUUAGAUGAAAGAUGGUUCUGCUAUCGCUUUUAGAUGGACCCGCGGCGUAUUAACUAGUUGGUGGGGUAACGGCCUACCAAGGUGAUGAUACGUAGCCGAACUGAGAGGUUGAUCGGCCACAUUGGGACUGAGACACGGCCCAAACUCCUACGGGAGGCAGCAGUAGGGAAUCUUCCACAAUGGACGCAAGUCUGAUGGAGCAACGCCGCGUGAGUGAAGAAGGUCUUCGGAUCGUAAAACUCUGUUGUUAGAGAAGAACACGAGUGAGAGUAACUGUUCAUUCGAUGACGGUAUCUAACCAGCAAGUCACGGCUAACUACGUGCCAGCAGCCGCGGUAAUACGUAGGUGGCAAGCGUUGUCCGGAUUUAUUGGGCGUAAAGGGAACGCAGGCGGUCUUUUAAGUCUGAUGUGAAAGCCUUCGGCUUAACCGGAGUAGUGCAUUGGAAACUGGAAGACUUGAGUGCAGAAGAGGAGAGUGGAACUCCAUGUGUAGCGGUGAAAUGCGUAGAUAUAUGGAAGAACACCAGUGGCGAAAGCGGCUCUCUGGUCUGUAACUGACGCUGAGGUUCGAAAGCGUGGGUAGCAAACAGGAUUAGAUACCCUGGUAGUCCACGCCGUAAACGAUGAAUGCUAGUGUUGGAGGGUUUCCCGCCCUUCAGUGCCGCAGCUAACGCAAUAAGCAUUCCGCCUGGGGAGUACGACCGCAAGGUUGAAACUCAAAUGAAUUGACGG
Molecule: ribosomal RNA, 940 nt
Filed under: uncultured bacterium
Lineage: Bacteria
Description: bacterial SSU rRNA
Rfam family: Bacterial small subunit ribosomal RNA
Source: RNAcentral